UAGUCAUAUGCUUGUCUCAAAGAUUAAGCCAUGCAUGUCUAAGUAUAAACAACUUUGUACUGUGAAACUGCGAAUGGCUCAUUAAAUCAGUUAUAGUUUAUUUGAUGGUGCUUACUACAUGGAUAACCGUGGUAAUUCUAGAGCUAAUACAUGCGUAAAAGACCCGACUUCUGGAAGGGUUGUAUUUAUUAGAUAAAAAACCAAUCAGCUUCGGCUGUCUGAGGUGACUCAUAAUAACUUUGCGAAUCGCAUGGCGAAUGCCGGCGAUGAAUCAUUC
This 277-nucleotide ribosomal RNA is filed under the name uncultured eukaryote. RNAcentral's name for it is "partial 18S ribosomal RNA". It matches the Rfam family "Eukaryotic small subunit ribosomal RNA", at positions 21 to 300 of the family's 1831-position model. The record is from RNAcentral.